UUAGUACGAUUGUGAAAUAAUAUCAUAUGAUAUUAAACAGGGAAAAGAUUAUAUAGAGCCGAGGCUCUAAACAAUCAAAUUAAAGCAUACCUAAAAAAUUUCAUUAGAAGUGGUUGUUUUUAUAUCUAAAUAUCCUUAAAUUGAUCAUCUCGAUAUCAAGAUGCAUAGACAUGGAAAAAAAAUGGAAUUCAAGUUUAUAUCUAAAUAUCUUCAAAUUGAUCAUCUCGAUAUCAAGAUGCAUAAACUUGAAAAACAAAAUGGAUUUCAAAGUUUUGGAAAUAGUGUAUUUUGUAAGGCAGUUUUUUACCAUCAAUUUUCAAGAUUUUCAAGUUUUCAUAGAUAUGUCAAUCUACACUAUUUUUUAAUCUUUUUUUUUACAAAUUUUUACACUAUUUU
Molecule: long non-coding RNA, 396 nt
Filed under: Amborella trichopoda
Lineage: Eukaryota; Viridiplantae; Streptophyta; Magnoliopsida; Amborellales; Amborellaceae
Description: long non-coding RNA (ATRI_LNC001760)
Source: RNAcentral